GUGCCAGCCGCCGCGGUAAUACGUAGGGUGCAGGCGUUAAUCGGAAUUACUGGGCGUAAAGCGUGCGCAGGCGGUUUCUUAAGUCAGAUGUGAAAUCCCCGGGCUUAACCUGGGAACUGCGUUUGAAACUGGGAGACUUGAGUGUGGCAGAGGGGGGCGGAAUUCCACGUGUAGCAGUGAAAUGCGUAGAUAUGUGGAGGAACACCGAUGGCGAAGGCAGCCCCCUGGGUUAACACUGACGCUCAUGCACGAAAGCGUGGGGAGCAAACAGGAUUAGAUACCCUGGUAGUCCACGCCCUAAACUAUGUCAACUGGUUGUCGGGAGAUUAACUCUCUUGGUAACGAAGCUAACGCGUGAAGUUGACCGCCUGGGGAGUACGGCCGCAAGGUUAAAACUCAAAUGAAUUGGCGGGG
RNAcentral lists this ribosomal RNA (414 nucleotides) under uncultured prokaryote. RNAcentral's name for it is "bacterial SSU rRNA". It matches the Rfam family "Bacterial small subunit ribosomal RNA", at positions 505 to 918 of the family's 1533-position model. The record is from RNAcentral.